RNAcentral lists this ribosomal RNA (465 nucleotides) under uncultured bacterium. RNAcentral describes it as "partial 16S ribosomal RNA". It matches the Rfam family "Bacterial small subunit ribosomal RNA", at positions 339 to 795 of the family's 1533-position model. The record is from RNAcentral.
CUACGGGUCGCUCCAGUAGGGAAUAUUGCGCAAUGGGCGAAAGCCUGACGCAGCAAUGCCGCGUGAGUGAGGAAGGCCUUCGGGUUGUAAAGCUCUGUCAAAGUGGAAAAACGGUCAUUAUUCGAAUAGGGUAGUGAAUUGAUGGUACACUGAAAGGAAACACCGGCUAACUUCGUGCCAGCAGCCGCGGUAAUACGAAGGGUGUAUGCGUUGUUCUGAUUUAUUGGGCGUAAAGAGCGCGCAGGCGGAUUAUUAAGCCAGAUGUGAAAUCUCGGGGCUCAACCUCGAAACUGCGGCUGGAACUGGUAAUCUAGAGUGUUAGAGAGGGAAGGGGAAUUUCUCAUGUAGGGGUAAAAUCCGUAGAGAUGAGAAGGAACACCAGAGGCGAAGGCGCCUUCCUGGCUAAAUACUGACGCUGAGGCGCGAAAGCGUGGGGAUCAAACAGGAUUAGAUACCCGGGUAGUC